AUAUCAGUCAUGCAUAGCAUAUCAAUAAGCGGAGGAAAAGUAACUAACAAGGAUUCCCUUAGUAACGGCGAGUGAAGCGGGAAGAGCUCAAAUUUGAAAUCUUCAAGGUUUUACCUUGACGAAUUGUAGUUUAAAGAAGUGUUUUCUGUUGAAGUUUUGGUAAAAGUUCUUUGGAAUAGGACAUCAUAGAGGGUGAGAAUCCCGUAUUUGACCAUUACUUUCAGCUUUGUGAUACACUUUCAAAGAGUCGGAUUGUUUGGGAAUGCAGUCCAAAAUGGGUGGUAAAUUUCAUCUAAAGCUAAAUAUUGGCGAGAGACCGAUAGCGAACAAGUACCGUGAGGGAAAGAUGAAAAGAACUUUGAAAAGAGAGUUAAACAGUACGUGAAAUUGUCAAAAGGGAAGCGUUUGACACCAGUGUUGUUUUCUCGAAAAUCAAUUAAAAAGAGUUGGAUUUUGUGUUGUAUUGACUUUAUCAGCUUUCUUCACUCUUUUCCAGCUUUUUUUAAUGCACUUUUCGUUUAACAAGUCAACAUCAGUUUCUUUUGUUGUAAAAAGGUCAUUGGAAGGUGGCUUUCUCUUCGGAGAAAGUGUUUAUAGCCUUUGACUCAUGCAAUCGGAGAGACUGAGGUCUGCAGCGUAGAUCCUUCGGGGUUAGAUACAUUUGUGCUAAGUUAUAGCUUUUCAUAGACAACUUGUUGACUAUGUUUAGUCUUGUAGCUUACUCGCUUAUGCUAUUUUACCUACGCUUAGGAUGUUGAACUCUAUCACACACAG
Molecule: ribosomal RNA, 774 nt
Filed under: uncultured Neocallimastigales
Lineage: Eukaryota; Fungi; Neocallimastigomycota; Neocallimastigomycetes; Neocallimastigales
Description: partial large subunit ribosomal RNA
Rfam family: Eukaryotic large subunit ribosomal RNA
Source: RNAcentral